CACGUAGGGGGCGAGCGUUGUCCGGAAUCAUUGGGCGUAAAGAGCGUGUAGGCGGCCAGAUAAGUCCGCUGUGAAAUCUCGAGGCUCAACUUCGAGCUGUCGGUGGAAACUGUCUGGCUAGAGUCCGGAAGAGGAGAAUGGAAUUCCUGGUGUAGCGGUGAAAUGCGCAGAUAUCAGGAAGAACACCCGUGGCGAAGGCGGUUCUCUGGGACGGUACUGACGCUGAGACGCGAAAGCGUGGGGAGCGAACAGG
Molecule: ribosomal RNA, 253 nt
Filed under: uncultured bacterium
Lineage: Bacteria
Description: partial 16S ribosomal RNA
Rfam family: Bacterial small subunit ribosomal RNA
Source: RNAcentral